This 301-nucleotide ribosomal RNA is filed under the name uncultured bacterium. RNAcentral's name for it is "partial 16S ribosomal RNA". It matches the Rfam family "Bacterial small subunit ribosomal RNA", at positions 509 to 807 of the family's 1533-position model. The record is from RNAcentral.
CAGUCGCCACGGUAACACGUAGGGUGCAAGCGUUAAUCGGAAUUACAGGGCGUAAAGCGUGCGCAGGCGGUUAUAUAAGUCAGAUGUGAAAUCCCCGGGCUCAACCUGGGAACUGCAUUUGAGACUGUAUGGCUAGAGUGUGUCAGAGGGGGGUAGAAGUCCACGUGUAGCAGUGAAAUGCGUAGAUAUGUGGAGGAAUACCGAUGGCGAAGGCAGCCCCCUGGGAUAACACUGACGCUCAUGCACGAAAGCGUGGGGAGCAAACAGGAUUAGAUACCCCUGUAGUCCCUGUCUCUUAUAC